RNAcentral lists this ribosomal RNA (374 nucleotides) under uncultured organism. Its description in RNAcentral is "bacterial SSU rRNA". It matches the Rfam family "Bacterial small subunit ribosomal RNA", at positions 526 to 896 of the family's 1533-position model. The record is from RNAcentral.
CGGGGGGAGCAAGCGUUGUUCGGAUUUACUGGGCGUAAAGGGCGCGUAGGCGGCCACCGCAAGUCGGUUGUGAAAUCUCCGGGCUUAACCCGGAAAGGUCAACCGAUACUGCGGGGCUAGAGUGCAGAAGGGGCAACUGGAAUUCUCGGUGUAGCGGUGGAAUGCGUAGAUAUCGAGAGGAACACCUGCGGCGAAGGCGGGUUGCUGGGCUGACACUGACGCUGAGGCGCGAAAGCUAGGGGAGCGAACGGGAUUAGAUACCCCGGUAGUCCUAGCCUUAAACGAUGGAUGCUUGGUGUCUGGGGUUUUAUAGUCCCCGGGUGCCGUCGCUAACGCUUUAAGCAUCCCGCCUGGGGAGUACGGUCGCAAGGCUG